RNAcentral lists this ribosomal RNA (490 nucleotides) under uncultured bacterium. RNAcentral describes it as "partial 16S ribosomal RNA". It matches the Rfam family "Bacterial small subunit ribosomal RNA", at positions 30 to 507 of the family's 1533-position model. The record is from RNAcentral.
AUUGAACGCUGGCGGCAGGCCUAACACAUGCAAGUCGAACGGUAACAGGAAGAAGCUUGCUUCUUUGCUGACGAGUGGCGGACGGGUGAGUAAUGUCUGGGAAACUGCCUGAUGGAGGGGGAUAACUACUGGAAACGGUAGCUAAUACCGCAUAACGUCGCAAGACCAAAGAGGGGGACCUUCGGGCCUCUUGCCAUCGGGUGUGCCCAGGUGGGAUUAGCUAGUAGGUGGGGUAACGGCUCACCUAGGCGACGAUCCCUAGCUGGUCUGAGGGGAUGAGCAGCCACACUGGAACUGAGACACGGUCCAGACUCCUACGGGAGGCAGCAGUGGGGAAUAGUGCACAAUGGGCGCAAGUCUGAUGCAGCCAGGCCGCGUGUAUGAAGAAGGCCUUCGGGUUGUAAAGUACUUUCAGCGGGGAGGAAGGGAGUAAAGUUAAGACCUUUGCUCAUUGACGUUACCCGCAGAAGAAGCACCGGCUAACUACGUG